This 561-nucleotide ribosomal RNA is filed under the name Bacillus sp. CH123a_4D. RNAcentral's name for it is "bacterial SSU rRNA". It matches the Rfam family "Bacterial small subunit ribosomal RNA", at positions 50 to 595 of the family's 1533-position model. Lineage: Bacteria; Bacillati; Bacillota; Bacilli; Caryophanales; Bacillaceae. The record is from RNAcentral.
UAUACAUGCAGUCGAGCGGACUUACAAAAGCUUGCUUUUGUAAGUUAGCGGCGGACGGGUGAGUAACACGUGGGCAACCUGCCCUUGAGACUGGGAUAACUUCGGGAAACCGGAGCUAAUACCGGAUAAUAUAAGGAACCUCCUGGUUCCUUAUUGAAAGAUGGUUUCGGCUAUCACUUAAGGAUGGGCCCGCGGCGCAUUAGCUAGUUGGUGAGGUAACGGCUCACCAAGGCGACGAUGCGUAGCCGACCUGAGAGGGUGAUCGGCCACACUGGGACUGAGACACGGCCCAGACUCCUACGGGAGGCAGCAGUAGGGAAUCUUCCACAAUGGACGAAAGUCUGAUGGAGCAACGCCGCGUGAGUGAUGAAGGCCUUCGGGUCGUAAAGCUCUGUUGUUAGGGAAGAACAAGUGCGAGAGUAACUGCUCGCACCUUGACGGUACCUAACCAGAAAGCCACGGCUAACUACGUGCCAGCAGCCGCGGUAAUACGUAGGUGGCAAGCGUUAUCCGGAAUUAUUGGGCGUAAAGCGCGCGCAGGUGGUUUCUUAAGUCUGAUGU